This 789-nucleotide ribosomal RNA is filed under the name archaeon K-4a2. Its description in RNAcentral is "bacterial SSU rRNA". It matches the Rfam family "Archaeal small subunit ribosomal RNA", at positions 85 to 879 of the family's 1478-position model. The record is from RNAcentral.
ACGGCUCAGUAACACGUGGACAACCUAACCUGAAGAGGGGGAUAACCCCGGGAAACUGGGGAUAAUACCCCAUAGAUUAUGGAUGCUGGAAUGCUCUGUAGUUGAAAGGUCCGCCGCUUCAGGAUGGGUCUGCGGCCGAUUAGGUUGUUGUUGGGGUAACGGCCCAACAAGCCUGUAAUCGGUACGGGUUGUGGGAGCAAGAGCCCGGAGAUGGAUUCUGAGACACGAAUCCAGGCCCCACGGGGCGCAGCAGGCGCGAAAACUUUACAAUGCGAGCAAUCGUGAUAAGGGAACUCCGAGUGCCUGUAAAAUCAGGCUGUCCGCCAGUGUAAAUAACUGGUGAAGAAAGGGCCGGGCAAGACCGGUGCCAGCCGCCGCGGUAAUACCGGCGGCUCGAGUGGUGGCCACUAUUACUGGGCUUAAAGCGUUCGUAGCUGGUCUGUUAAGUCUCUGGGGAAAUCUUCCGGCUUAACCGGAAGGCGUCUCAGGGAUACUGGCAGACUAGGGACCGGAAGAGGUGAGAGGUACUCCAGGGGUAGGAGUGAAAUCCUGUAAUCCUUGGGGGACCACCUGUGGCGAAGGCGUCUCACCAGGACGGCUCCGACAGUGAGGAACGAAAGCUGGGGGAGCAAACCGGAUUAGAUACCCGGGUAGUCCCAGCUGUAAACGAUGCACGUUAGGUGUAUCGGUGACCACGAGUCACCGAGGUGCCGAAGAGAAAUCGUGAAACGUGCCGCCUGGGAAGUACGGUCGCAAGGCUGAAACUUAAAGGAAUUGGCGGGGGAGCAC